RNAcentral lists this transfer RNA (72 nucleotides) under Camelus bactrianus (Bactrian camel). It matches the Rfam family "tRNA". From Rfam's summary of the family: Transfer RNA (tRNA) molecules are approximately 80 nucleotides in length. Lineage: Eukaryota; Metazoa; Chordata; Mammalia; Artiodactyla; Camelidae. The record is from Rfam by way of RNAcentral. RNAcentral also lists the same sequence under 3 other names.
GAGUAUAUAGCUCAGUGGUAGAGCAUGUGCUUGGCAUGCAUGAGGUCCUAGGUUUAAUACCCAGUACCUCCA